This 308-nucleotide unclassified non-coding RNA is filed under the name uncultured Mycena. RNAcentral describes it as "partial contains 5.8S ribosomal RNA, internal transcribed spacer 2, and large subunit ribosomal RNA". The stretch from base 1 to 52 matches the Rfam family "5.8S ribosomal RNA", at positions 103 to 154 of the family's 154-position model. The record is from RNAcentral. Lineage: Eukaryota; Fungi; Basidiomycota; Agaricomycetes; Agaricales; Tricholomataceae.
AACGCACCUUGCGCCCUUUGGUAUUCCGAAGGGCAUGCCUGUUUGAGUGUCAUUAAAUUCUCAACCCAAAAAGCUUUUACGAGCUCUUUUGUGGCUUGGAUGUGGGGGUUUUUGCUGGCUUCCUUCAGUGGAUGGUCUGCUCCCCUUAAAUGCAUUAGUGGGAUCUCUUGUGGACCGUCACUUGGUGUGAUAAUUAUCUUUGCCAGUUGACUUUGAAGCAAAACUUAUGGGAACCCGCUCAUAACCGUCUUCGGACAACUUAUUGACAUUUUGACCUCAAAUCAGGUAGGACUACCCGCUGAACUUAA